RNAcentral lists this ribosomal RNA (406 nucleotides) under uncultured bacterium. RNAcentral's name for it is "partial 16S ribosomal RNA". It matches the Rfam family "Bacterial small subunit ribosomal RNA", at positions 30 to 526 of the family's 1533-position model. The record is from RNAcentral.
AUUGAACGCUGGCGGCAGGCCUAACACAUGCAAGUCGAACGAGUGGCGGACGGGUGAGUAAUGUCUGGGAAACUGCCCGAUGGAGGGGGAUAACUACUGGAAACGGUAGCUAAUACCGCAUACCAUCGGAUGUGCCCAGAUGGGAUUAGCUAGUCGGUGGGGUAAAGGAUCACCUAGGCGACGAUCCCUAGCUGGUUUGAGAGGAUGACCAGCCACACUGUAACUGAGACACGGUCCAGCCUCCUACGGGAGGCAGCAGUGGGGAAUAUUGCACAAUGGGCGCAAGCCUGAUGCAGCCAUGCCGCGUGUAUGAAGAAGGCCUUCGGGUUGUAAAGUACUUUCAGCGGGGAGGCGUUACCCGCAGAAGAAGCACCGGCUAACUCCGUGCCAGCAGCCGCGGUAAUAC